RNAcentral lists this ribosomal RNA (315 nucleotides) under uncultured eukaryote. Its description in RNAcentral is "partial 18S ribosomal RNA". It matches the Rfam family "Eukaryotic small subunit ribosomal RNA", at positions 1470 to 1796 of the family's 1831-position model. The record is from RNAcentral.
CCCUUAGAUGUUCUGGGCUGCACGCGCGCUACACUGACGCACGCAACAGGUGCCUGCUCCGGGAGGACUGGGUAAUCAUUUGAGUGUGCGUCGUGAUGGGGAUAGAAUAUUGUAAUUAUUACUCUUCAACGAGGAAUUCCUAGUAAGCGCCAGUCAGCAGCUUGCGCUGAUUACGUCCCUGCCCUUUGUACACACCGCCCGUCGCUCCAACCGAUGGGUGAUCCGGUGAAUGAUUCGGACUUCAGCGGCUCCCCUGGGGUGCGCCGGAGAAAGUUUUGUGAACCUUAUCACUUGGAGGAAGGAGAAGUCGUAACA